CCUACGGGAGGCAGCAGUGAGGAAUAUUGGUCAAUGGCCGGAAGGCUGAACCAGCCAUGCCGCGUGAAGGUCAGUGCCCUAUGGGCGUUAAACUUCUUUUGUGCGGGAGCAAUAAUGGUCACGUGUGGCCAGACGAGAGUACCGUACGAAUAAGCAUCGGCUAACUGCGUGCCAGCAGCCGCGGUAAUACGGGGGAUGCCAGCGUUAUCCGGAUUUAUUGGGUUUAAAGGGUGCGUAGGCUGUGAGGUAAGUCAGCGGUGAAAUGCCCGCGCUCAACGGGGUGAAGUGCCAUUGAUACUGCCUGGCUGGAAUGCGGAUGCGGUGGGAGGAAUGUGUGGUGUAGCGGUGAAAUGCAUAGAUAUCACACAGAACACCGAGUGCGAAGGCAUCUCACGAAUCCGCGAUUGACGCUGAUGCACGAAAGCGUGGGUAUCAAACAGGAUUAGAUACCCGGGUAGUC
Molecule: ribosomal RNA, 460 nt
Filed under: uncultured bacterium
Lineage: Bacteria
Description: partial 16S ribosomal RNA
Rfam family: Bacterial small subunit ribosomal RNA
Source: RNAcentral